GCUCGGUUGAUCUAGUUGGUUAUGAUGUGGACCUAAUACGACCGCGAGUCGCGCAAGUCCAAUGUCGGCGGUUCGAUCCCGCCACUGAGCA
Molecule: transfer RNA, 91 nt
Filed under: Rhodotorula diobovata
Lineage: Eukaryota; Fungi; Basidiomycota; Microbotryomycetes; Sporidiobolales; Sporidiobolaceae
Description: tRNA-Ile
Source: RNAcentral